RNAcentral lists this ribosomal RNA (428 nucleotides) under uncultured bacterium. Its description in RNAcentral is "bacterial SSU rRNA". It matches the Rfam family "Bacterial small subunit ribosomal RNA", at positions 352 to 795 of the family's 1533-position model. The record is from RNAcentral.
CAGUGGGGAAUUUUCCGCAAUGGGCGAAAGCCUGACGGAGCAACGCCGCGUGAGGGAGGAAGGUCAUUGGAUUGUAAACCUCUUUUCUCAAGGAAGAAGUUCUGACGGUACUUGAGGAAUCAGCCUCGGCUAACUCCGUGCCAGCAGCCGCGGUAAUACGGGGGAGGCAAGCGUUAUCCGGAAUUAUUGGGCGUAAAGCGUCCGCAGGUGGUCAGCCAAGUCUGCUGUCAAAUCAGGUUGCUUAACGACCUAAAGGCGGUGGAAACUGGCAGACUAGAGAGCAGUAGGGGUAGCAGGAAUUCCCAGUGUAGCGGUGAAAUGCGUAGAGAUUGGGAAGAACAUCGGUGGCGAAAGCGUGCUACUGGGCUGUAUCUGACACUCAGGGACGAAAGCUAGGGGAGCGAAAGGGAUUAGAUACCCCGGUAGUC